This 324-nucleotide unclassified non-coding RNA is filed under the name soil metagenome. Its description in RNAcentral is "partial contains 5.8S ribosomal RNA, internal transcribed spacer 2, and large subunit ribosomal RNA". The stretch from base 1 to 121 matches the Rfam family "5.8S ribosomal RNA", at positions 35 to 154 of the family's 154-position model. The record is from RNAcentral.
GAUGAAGAAACGCAGCGAAAUGCGAUAAGUAAUGCGAAUUGCAGAAUUCAGUGAGUCAUCGAAUCUUUGAACGCACAUUGCGCCCUGUGGUAUUCCGCAGGGCAUGCCUGUUCGAGCGUCAUUUCAACCCUCAAGCUCUGCUUGGUGUUGGGCCCUGCCCGCUGCGGCCGGCCCUAAAGACAGUGGCGGUGCCGCCUGGCCCUGAGCGUAGUACAUCUCUCGCUCCAGUGCCCGGUGGUAGCCUGCCAGAACCCCAACUCUCGUGGUUGACCUCGGAUCAGGUAGGGAUACCCGCUGAACUUAAGCAUAUCAAUAAGCGGAGGA